Molecule: ribosomal RNA, 374 nt
Filed under: uncultured bacterium
Lineage: Bacteria
Description: bacterial SSU rRNA
Rfam family: Bacterial small subunit ribosomal RNA
Source: RNAcentral
UAACACGUAGGGGGCAAGCGUUGUCCGGAUUUAUUGGGCGUAAAGAGCUCGUAGGUGGUUCGAUAAGUCGGGUGUGAAACCUCCAGGCUCAACCUGGAGACGCCACCCGAUACUGUCGUGACUAGAGUCCAGUAGGGGAGCGUGGAAUUCCUGGUGUAGCGGUGAAAUGCGCAGAUAUCAGGAGGAACACCAGCGGCGAAGGCGGCGCUCUGGGCUGGCACUGACACUGAGGAGCGAAAGCGUGGGGAGCGAACAGGAUUAGAUACCCUGGUAGUCCACGCCCUAAACGAUGGGAACUAAGUGUCGGCGGGUUACCGCCGGUGCCGCACCUAACGGAGUAAGUUCCCCGCCUGGGGAGUACGGCCGCAAGGUUG